GCAAGAUCCAGCUCACUCUCUCAUUCAUUAACAGCAACUUCAAAGCUAACAGAAGAUAAUGAUAUUUUUAAAAACACCUAACGUAGGAACAAAUAAUAGUGAUUUAUUUACAGUAUAUGAUCAUACAUUGCAUAAUUUUGCCACAAGGCCAAUGUACUCCAUUUCUGGCGUGUCCUAAACUAGCAACAUAAUCCCUGCUCUUAUGAGAUUAACCCACUUUUACUGCACAUAAGUGGGUUAAGCUUAUAAGAGCAGGCAAAAAUGGGGCACAUUAGUAUUGUGGUAGACUUAUGGAAUGUAUGAUCAUAUACGAUAAAUAAACCCCCAUUAUUUUUGCUGUGAGCUUUGAAGUUGCUGUUUACUGAAUAUAUACGUGUGUGUAUGCACGCAUAAUAAUUGAAAGCACUCAGAGGACUUCCAAAAAUGAGUCUUUACUAUUACAUGUCCAACAAAAUCAAUGUUUUGACCCUAUAUGGUCAUUAUCAAGACCAAUUAUCACAUGCAUAUACACAUGUAUAUAUGUAUGUGAGGUUCAUUUUUCAAUAACCAUACAGAAGAGAAAAUAAUUAUUACCCCAAAAAGUGUGUGUGUGUGUG
Molecule: non-coding RNA, 596 nt
Organism: Pelobates cultripes (western spadefoot toad)
Lineage: Eukaryota; Metazoa; Chordata; Amphibia; Anura; Pelobatidae
Source: the annotation of a GenBank genome assembly